Molecule: ribosomal RNA, 262 nt
Filed under: uncultured bacterium
Lineage: Bacteria
Description: partial 16S ribosomal RNA
Rfam family: Bacterial small subunit ribosomal RNA
Source: RNAcentral
UAGUGGCGGACGGGUGAGUAACGCGUGGGUAACCUGCCUCACACUGGGGGAUAACAGUUAGAAAUAGCUGCUAAUACCGCAUAAGCGCACGGUUCCGCAUGGAACAGUGUGAAAAACUCCGGUGGUGUGAGAUGGACCCGCGUCUGAUUAGCCAGUUGGCGGGGUAACGGCCCACCAAAGCGACGAUCAGUAGCCGGCCUGAGAGGGUGAACGGCCACAUUGGGACUGAGACACGGCCCAAACUCCUACGGGAGGCAGCAUG